RNAcentral lists this ribosomal RNA (253 nucleotides) under uncultured bacterium. RNAcentral describes it as "partial 16S ribosomal RNA". It matches the Rfam family "Bacterial small subunit ribosomal RNA", at positions 524 to 776 of the family's 1533-position model. The record is from RNAcentral.
UACAGAGGGUGCGAGCGUUAAUCGGAAUUACUGGGCGUAAAGCGUGCGUAGACGGUUACGUAAGUCGGGUGUGAAAUCCCCGGGCUCAACCCGGGAACUGCGUCCGAUACUGGAAGGCUUGAAUCCGGGAGAGGGAUGCGGAAUUCCAGGUGUAGCGGUGAAAUGCGUAGAUAUCUGGAGGAACACCGGUGGCGAAGGCGACAUCCUGGACCGGUAUUGACGCUGAGGCGCGAAAGCCAGGGGAGCAAACGGG